RNAcentral lists this long non-coding RNA (231 nucleotides) under Gossypium barbadense (sea-island cotton). RNAcentral's name for it is "long non-coding RNA (GBAR_LNC022568)". Lineage: Eukaryota; Viridiplantae; Streptophyta; Magnoliopsida; Malvales; Malvaceae. The record is from RNAcentral.
CGCUAAGAAACGUUGUUUCUGUCGGCCUUUCUGUGCAACAGUCCACCAAUAGCGGAAGAGAGGGUUACCAUACAUACAAGACUCUUCCAGUUCUUAUGUAAGCUUUUUCUUACCAGUCAAGUAGUACAACAGCUGUAUCUUAUCUUAUAGCCCGUCGCGGCGGGUCGCCUUUUGAAUUCAGUAGAUAGAAGAAAUUAUUAGAUAAAUAGGGAGUAGGUGAGUGAGUGAGUC